Molecule: ribosomal RNA, 1042 nt
Filed under: uncultured beta proteobacterium
Lineage: Bacteria; Pseudomonadati; Pseudomonadota; Betaproteobacteria
Description: bacterial SSU rRNA
Rfam family: Bacterial small subunit ribosomal RNA
Source: RNAcentral
GGUGUGCUAAUACCGCAUAAUCUCUCAGGAGAAAAGCAGGGGAUCGCAAGACCUUGCGCUUUAGGAGCGGCCGAUGCCUGAUUAGCUUGUUGGUAAGGUAAAAGCUUACCAAGGCUUCGAUCAGUAGCUGGUCUGAGAGGACGACCAGCCACACUGGGACUGAGACACGGCCCAGACUCCUACGGGAGGCAGCAGUGGGGAAUUUUGGACAAUGGGGGAAACCCUGAUCCAGCCAUGCCGCGUGAGUGAAGAAGGCCUUCGGGUUGUAAAGCUCUUUCAGCCGGAACGAAACGGUUACGAUUAAUACUCGUAACUAAUGACGGUACCGGCAGAAGAAGCACCGGCUAACUACGUGCCAGCAGCCGCGGUAAUACGUAGGGUGCGAGCGUUAAUCGGAAUUACUGGGCGUAAAGGGUCCGCAGGUUGUUUUGUAAGUCAGAUGUGAAAGCCCCGGGCUUAACCUGGGAACUGCGUCUGAAACUACAAGGCUAGAGUAUGGCAGAGGGGGGUGGAAUUCCGCGUGUAGCAGUGAAAUGCGUAGAUAUGUGGAGGAACACCGAUGGCGAAGGCAGCCCCCUGGGUCAAUACUGACGCUGAGGGACGAAAGCAUGGGGAGCAAACAGGAUUAGAUACCCUGGUAGUCCAUGCCCUAAACGAUGUCAACUAGUUGUCGGGCCUUUACGGGCUUGGUAACGUAGCUAACGCGUGAAGUUGACCGCCUGGGGAGUACGAUCGCAAGAUUAAAACUCAAAUGAAUUGACGGGGACCCGCACAAGCGGUGGAUUAUGUGGAUUAAUUCGAUGCAACGCGAAAAACCUUACCUACCCUUGACAUGUAUCGAAGCCCGCAGAAAAGCGGAGGUGCCCGAAAGGGUACGAUAACACAGGUGCUGCAUGGCUGUCGUCAGCUCGUGUCGUGAGAUGUUGGGUUAAGUCCCGCAACGAGCGCAACCCUUGUCAUUAAUUGCCAUCAUUUAGUUGGGCACUUUAAUGAGACUGCCGGUGACAAACCGGAGGAAGGUGGGGAUGACGUCAAGUCCUCA